CAAAAUGUUCUGUGGCUUCUAAAGAUGCUUUUUCUAAUGGAAAUGCUUUUUAGAUAUUUCUAGGAAUGUAUUGUACAUUAACACAGGUGAUAUUUCUAUUAUUGGUUGCCUUUUUUCUGGAACAAUCUUUUUGGCAGUUUGUAUUUUAAAAAGAAGAAGAAGAAGAAGCAGCUUCAGCACUUUUCUGGUGUUCCAAGAAUUAUAACAAUGCUAAACAGCUAACUAAUUCUGUCUGACAGAAAGCAAUAAUGGCUCUUUGCUGACCGUAACACAUCAGCCUGUGGGCAACUUCUUGUUAUGUGUUCAGAGUAGAUAGACAUGCUGGAACAAGUGGUUUGUUGCUGCAAAGUCAUAAUUCCAGUUAGUUUCUACAGAGCUAAUGAGCAAGUACUGUUCUUGAACAAUGUAUGAGAGAGAGAAAAUCUUAAAAUGAAAAAAAAGUACAAAAAAUGUAAGACUGAAAUACUACAUGUCUGAACAUGAGUAAUUCCUGUUUCUGGCGUCAGUGCUCUGAUAUGAAAUUUUCAGAUCACGAGUCAUAGAUUUAGAAUUGGGCCUUCUUGAAUUUAUGACAUGCUCAAACUUGCCAAUGGAAAGCUCUCCACAAACUCGGAGUAAUUCUUUCAAAGCUGUAAGUAUUAUAGAUGCUCACAUGGAGCACUGAUGUUGGGAGAAUAUUUAAUGUUUUAAUGUCUAUCUUUUAUUUCAUUUUAGCAGUUGGAGAAAAGGAGGAAAAGUGACAAAAAUAGGCCUAUUCACGGAUAACUCAAGCUCAGACAACAUCACGAUGGAGACCAAAUAUAAGUCAAUGACAUUGUGAGGUGAGGGAAAACAUAAUGAAGCAUCUACCCAUUCCUAACUGGCUGACCCAGCUUGGUCUCCCAGAAUAUUGCACGCUCUUUGAACAGUAUGAUGGCGUAGAGGACCUACUCCAUCUUACAGAGGUUGAUCUUAGGAAAAUGGGAAUUGGAAAUCAAGUCCACCGAACAUACAUCAUUUCCAAUAUCCUGCUGCUUCAGGAAAUAGAAAAAAAGAGAGGAUAUUUACACCCAAGGUGGCUUUACCUGCUGUAUUCCGGAUUCUGGGAAGGCUGCGGAGCAGAUCAGUGCCGUCGGCAUGGGCUGCCUGCAGCCUGCUUUGUUUUCUCAGUGGGGCGAAUGACUGUUAUCCAGUCUCCAGCCUAUUAUGGCAUGUUUUUGUUUUGUGGCUGUCUUUGGCAGAGUACUGUGUCUAGCAGCAAAGUGCUUAAUCAGUUACACUGA
This 1262-nucleotide long non-coding RNA is filed under the name Apteryx owenii (little spotted kiwi). RNAcentral's name for it is "lncRNA (ENSAOWG00000002561.1)". Lineage: Eukaryota; Metazoa; Chordata; Aves; Apterygiformes; Apterygidae. The record is from RNAcentral.